This 69-nucleotide antisense RNA is filed under the name Amycolatopsis australiensis. RNAcentral's name for it is "ASpks TB sRNA". It matches the Rfam family "ASpks TB sRNA". The record is from RNAcentral. Lineage: Bacteria; Bacillati; Actinomycetota; Actinomycetes; Pseudonocardiales; Pseudonocardiaceae.
CUUCACCGACCCCAGCCACAGCGGCUCUUCCCGGUCCCGGCCGUAGGUCGCCAGCAGGGCCUGCGCCUC